AUAAUGGGUCAGCGACUUAUAUUCAGUAGCGAGGUUAACCGUAUAGGGGAGCCGUAGAGAAAUCGAGUCUUAAUAGGGCGUUUAGUUGCUGGGUAUAGACCCGAAACCAGGCGAUCUAUCCAUGAGCAGGUUGAAGGUUGGGUAACACUAACUGGAGGACCGAACCCACUGUCGUUGAAAAGCCAGGGGAUGACUUGUGGAUAGGGGUGAAAGGCUAAUCAAGCCUGGUGAUAGCUGGUUCUCCCCGAAAGCUAUUUAGGUAGCGCCUCGGACGAAUACCAUAGGGGGUAGAGCACUGUUUCGGCUAGGGGGUCAUCCCGACUUACCAAACCGAUGCAAACUCCGAAUACCUAUGAGUACUAUCCGGGAGACAGACUGCGGGUGCUAACGUCCGUAGUCAAGAGGAAAACAAUCCAGACCGCCAGCUAAGGCCCCAAAAUCAUAGUUAAGUGGGAAACGAUGUGGGAAGGCAUAGACAGCUAGGAGGUUGGCUUAGAAGCAGCCACCCUUUAAAGAAAGCGUAAUAGCUCACUAGUCGAGUCGGCCUGCGCGGAAGAUGUAACGGGGCUAAAACUAUGUGCCGAAGCUGCGGAUGUAUACUUUGUAUACGUGGUAGGGGAGCGUUCUGUAAGCCGAUGAAGGUGUGUUGAGAAGCAUGCUGGAGGUAUCAGAAGUGCGAAUGCUGACGUGAGUAACGACAAAACGGGUGAAAAACCCGUUCGCCGAAAGACCAAGGGUUCCAGUCCAACGUUAAUCGGGGCUGGGUGAGUCGACCCCUAAGGCGAGGCCGAAAGGCGUAGUCGAUGGGAAAAUGGUUAAUAUUCCAUUACUUCUGUGUAAUGCGAUGAGAGGACGGAGAAGGCUAAAUCAGCCUGGCGUUGGUUGUCCAGGUGAAAGGAUGUAGGCAUGUAUCUUAGGCAAAUCCGGGGUACUCUAUGCUGAGAUCUGAUAGCAAGCUGUACUUGUACAGCGAAGUGGUUGAUGCCAUGCUUCCAGGAAAAGUCUCUAAGCUUCAGUUACACAGGAAUCGUACCCGAAACCGACACAGGUGGUCAGGUCGAGUAGACCAAGGCGCUUGAGAGAACUCUGCUGAAGGAACUAGGCAAAAUGGUACCGUAACUUCGGGAGAAGGUACGCUGUUGUUGGUGAUGGAACUCGCUUCCUGAGCUGACGACAGCCGCAGAAACCAGGCCGCUGCAACUGUUUAUUAAAAACAUAGCACUCUGCAAACACGAAAGUGGACGUAUAGGGUGUGAUGCCUGCCCGGUGCUGGAAGGUUAAUUGAUGGGGUUAGCGUAAGCGAAGCUCUUGAUCGAAGCCCCAGUAAACGGCGGCCGUAACUAUAACGGUCCUAAGGUAGCGAAAUUCCUUGUCGGGUAAGUUCCGACCUGCACGAAUGGCAUAAUGAUGGCGGCGCUGUCUCCAGCAGAGGCUCAGUGAAAUCGAAAUCGCUGUGAAGAUGCAGUGUACCCGCGGCUAGACGGAAAGACCCCGUGAACCUUUACUGCAGCUUGACACUGAACUUUGACCUUACUUGUGUAGGAUAGGUGGGAGGCUUUGAAGCUGGAACGCUAGUUCCAGUGGAGCCGUCCUUGAAAUACCACCCUGGUAAUGUUGAGGUUCUAACUCUGUCCCGUGAUCCGGGACGAGGACCGUGUCUGGUGGGUAGUUUGACUGGGGCGGUCUCCUCCUAAAGAGUAACGGAGGAGUACGAAGGUGCGCUCAGCGUGGUCGGAAAUCACGCGUAGAGUAUAAAGGCAAAAGCGCGCUUAACUGCGAGACCCACAAGUCGAGCAGGUACGAAAGUAGGUCUUAGUGAUCCGGUGGUUCUGUAUGGAAGGGCCAUCGCUCAACGGAUAAAAGGUACUCUGGGGAUAACAGGCUGAUACCGCCCAAGAGUUCAUAUCGACGGCGGUGUUUGGCACCUCGAUGUCGGCUCAUCUCAUCCUGGGGCUGAAGCAGGUCCCAAGGGUAUGGCUGUUCGCCAUUUAAAGAGGUACGCGAGCUGGGUUUAGAACGUCGUGAGACAGUUCGGUCCCUAUCUACCGUGGGCGCUGGAAAUUUGAGAGGAUCUGCUCCUAGUACGAGAGGACCAGAGUGGACGAACCUCUGGUGUACCGGUUGUGACGCCAGUCGCAUCGCCGGGUAGCUAUGUUCGGAAGGGAUAACCGCUGAAAGCAUCUAAGCGGGAAGCCUACCUCAAGAUAAGAUUUCCCUAGGACUUUAUGUCCUCUAAAGAGCCGUUCGAGACUAGGACGUUGAUAGGUUGGAUGUGGAAGCAUAGUGAUAUGUGAAGCUGACCAAUACUAAUUGCUCGUGAGGCUUGACUA
This 2330-nucleotide ribosomal RNA is filed under the name Acinetobacter baumannii 1095464. RNAcentral's name for it is "bacterial LSU rRNA". It matches the Rfam family "Bacterial large subunit ribosomal RNA", at positions 612 to 2925 of the family's 2925-position model. Lineage: Bacteria; Pseudomonadati; Pseudomonadota; Gammaproteobacteria; Moraxellales; Moraxellaceae. The record is from RNAcentral.